GAGCACGUAGGUGGGUUUGUAAGUCAGAUGUGAAAGCCUUCUGUUCAACGGGAGAAUUGCAUCUGAAACUGCUAACCUUGAGUAUAGGAGGGGAGAAUGGAACUUCUGGUGGAGCGGUGAAAUGCGUAGAUAUCAGAAGGAACGCCGGCGGCGAAAGCGGUUCUCUGGCCUAUUACUGACACUCAGUGUGCGAAAGCUAGGGGAGCAAACGGGAUUAGAUACCCCGGUAGUCCUAGUUGUAAACGAUGGGCACUAAGUAGAGGGGUUUUAA
RNAcentral lists this ribosomal RNA (271 nucleotides) under uncultured anaerobic ammonium-oxidizing bacterium. RNAcentral's name for it is "partial 16S ribosomal RNA". It matches the Rfam family "Bacterial small subunit ribosomal RNA", at positions 565 to 834 of the family's 1533-position model. The record is from RNAcentral.